This is a long non-coding RNA of Fundulus heteroclitus (mummichog), 470 nucleotides long. RefSeq lists it as uncharacterized. The transcript is spliced from 3 exons. The record is from RefSeq and is a predicted model, not a curated record. Lineage: Eukaryota; Metazoa; Chordata; Actinopteri; Cyprinodontiformes; Fundulidae.
CAGAGGGACAGUCCAGGUUCUGCAGCAGAGGGACAGUGCAGGUUCUGCAGCAGAGGGACAGUCCAGGUGUUCUGCAGCAGAGGGACAGUCCAGGUGUUCUGCAGCAGAGGGACAGUCCAGGUGUUCUGCAGCAGAGGGACAGUCCAGGUUCUGCAGCAGAGGGACAGUGCAGGUUCUGCAGCAGAGGGACAGUCCAGGUGUUCUGCUGCAGAGGGACAGUCCAGGUUCUGCAGCAGAGGGACAGUGCAGGUUCUGCAGCAGAGGGACAGUCCAGGUGUUCUGCAGCAGAGGGACAGUCCAGGUGUUCUGCAGCAGAGGGACAGUCCAGGUUCUGCAGCAGAGGGACAGUCCAGGUGUUCUGCUGCAGAGGGACAGUCCAGGUUCUGCAGCAGAGGGACAGUGCAGGUUCUGCAGCAGAGGGACAGUCCAGGUGUUCUGCAGCAGAGGGACAGUCCAGGUGUUCUGCUGCA